CCCCAGACUCCUACGGGAGGCAGCAGUGAGGAAUAUUGGUCAAUGGGCGGGAGCCUGAACCAGCCAAGUCGCGUGAGGGAAGACGGUCCUACGGAUUGUAAACCUCUUUUGCCGGGGAGCAACGGGGUCCUUGCGAGGGCCCAAUGAGAGUACCCGGAGAAAAAGCAUCGGCUAACUCCGUGCCAGCAGCCGCGGUAAUACGGAGGAUGCGAGCGUUAUCCGGAUUUAUUGGGUUUAAAGGGUGCGCAGGCGGAUUUUUAAGUCAGCGGUCAAAUCGUGGGGCUCAACCCCAUCCAGCCGUUGAAACUGGGGAUCUAGAGUGUGCGAGAGGUAUGCGGAAUGCGUGGUGUAGCGGUGAAAUGCAUAGAUAUUGCGCAGAACUCCGAUUGCGAAGGCAGCAUACCGGCGGCGAUCUGACGCUGAGGCACGAAAGCGUGGGUAUCGAACAGGAUUAGAUACCCUAGUAC
Molecule: ribosomal RNA, 467 nt
Filed under: uncultured bacterium
Lineage: Bacteria
Description: bacterial SSU rRNA
Rfam family: Bacterial small subunit ribosomal RNA
Source: RNAcentral